UACGGGGGGGGCAAGCGUUGUUCGGAAUUACUGGGCGUAAAGGGCUCGUAGGCGGCCUACUAAGUCAGACGUGAAAUCCCUCGGCUUAACCGGGGAACUGCGUCUGAUACUGGAUGGCUUGAGUUUGGGAGAGGGAUGCGGAAUUCCAGGUGUAGCGGUGAAAUGCGUAGAUAUCUGGAGGAACACCGGUGGCGAAGGCGGCAUCCUGGACCAACACUGACGCUGAGUGAGCGAAAGCCAGGGGAGCAAACGGG
RNAcentral lists this ribosomal RNA (254 nucleotides) under uncultured bacterium. Its description in RNAcentral is "partial 16S ribosomal RNA". It matches the Rfam family "Bacterial small subunit ribosomal RNA", at positions 524 to 776 of the family's 1533-position model. The record is from RNAcentral.